GAUGAACGCUGGCGGCGUGCUUAACACAUGCAAGUCGAACGAAGCACUUUAUUUGAUUUCCUUCGGGACUGAUUAUUUUGUGACUGAGUGGCGGACGGGUGAGUAACGCGUGGGUAACCUGCCUUGUACAGGGGGAUAACAGUUGGAAACGGCUGCUAAUACCGCAUAAGCGCACGGCAUCGCAUGAUGCAGUGUGAAAAACUCCGGUGGUAUAAGAUGACCCGCGUUGGAUUAGCUAGUUGGUGAGGUAACGGCCCACCAAGGCGACGAUCCAUAGCCGACCUGAGAGGGUGACCGGCCACAUUGGGACUGAGACACGGCCCAAACUCCUACGGGAGGCAGCAGUGGGGAAUAUUGCACAAUGGGCGAAAGCCUGAUGCAGCGACGCCGCGUGAGCGAAGAAGUAUUUCGGUAUGUAAAGCUCUAUCAGCAGGGAAGAUAAUGACGGUACCUGACUAAGAAGCACCGGCUAAAUACGUG
This 480-nucleotide ribosomal RNA is filed under the name uncultured bacterium. RNAcentral's name for it is "partial 16S ribosomal RNA". It matches the Rfam family "Bacterial small subunit ribosomal RNA", at positions 28 to 507 of the family's 1533-position model. The record is from RNAcentral.